This 468-nucleotide ribosomal RNA is filed under the name uncultured bacterium. RNAcentral's name for it is "partial 16S ribosomal RNA". It matches the Rfam family "Bacterial small subunit ribosomal RNA", at positions 28 to 507 of the family's 1533-position model. The record is from RNAcentral.
GACGAACGCUGGCGGCGUGCUUAACACAUGCGAGUCGAACGGAAAGGCCCUGCUUUUGUGGGGUGCUCGAGUGGCGAACGGGUGAGUAACACGUGAGUAACCUGCCCUUGACUUUGGGAUAACUUCAGGAAACUGGGGCUAAUACCGGAUAGGAGCUCCUGCUGCAUGGUGGGGGUUGGAAAGUUUCGGCGGUUGGGGAUGGACUCGCGGCUUAUCAGCUUGUUGGUGGGGUAGUGGCUUACCAAGGCUUUGGCGGGUAGCCGGCCUGAGAGGGUGACCGGCCACAUUGGGACUGAGAUACGGCCCAGACUCCUACGGGAGGCAGCAGUGGGGAAUAUUGCACAAUGGGCGGAAGCCUGAUGCAGCAACGCCGCGUGCGGGAUGACGGCCUUCGGGUUGUAAACCGCUUUCGCCUGUGACGAAGCGUGAGUGACGGUAAUGGGUAAAGAAGCACCGGCUAACUACGUG